GACAGAGGGUGCAACCGUUGUUCGGAAUUACUGGGCGUAAAGCGCAUGUAGGCGGCCUAGCAGGUCGGAUGUGAAAUCCCUCGGCUCAACCAAGGAAGUGCAUUCGAAACCGCAAGGCUGGAGUUCCGGAGAGGAUGGUGGAAUUCUCGGUGUAGAGGUGAAAUUCGUAGAUAUCGAGAGGAACACCGGCGGCGAAGGCGGCCAUCUGGACGAGGACUGACGCUGAGAUGCGAAAGCGUGGGGAGCAAACAGG
Molecule: ribosomal RNA, 253 nt
Filed under: uncultured bacterium
Lineage: Bacteria
Description: partial 16S ribosomal RNA
Rfam family: Bacterial small subunit ribosomal RNA
Source: RNAcentral